AUUGAAAAUAUAUGAAGUUACGAUACUUGAACGAAGUAUAACAUAAGUAAAUAAGUUCUCUUUGACAACCUUUUUGUUCACUAAUAAUUUAUUUGCCAAUUUUUUGGAUACAAAGUUUAUCUUAAAAUAUAUGGCAUUGUCGAAAGGCUUAAAUUUAGAAGUUUUUUUGUUCGGAUUCUUUUUUCUUCAGGCACAACGUUUGCAGACACAAAUGCCACCUUGAAUGUUAUGGGCUUAACAAGCUGGUGGGCAAUCCUUUGCAGUUUUCGUCAUCGCUGCAUAGCGUCCACUGUUGCUGCAAUGUUAGAUGGUAGAUGCCCCGACACCGGCAAGCAACUACAUUUUUUAGUUGUCAAGUCACAAAAACCACCAUGUUUACACUGGCCCAAACAGUCUAUGUCACGAGUGCAUGCUUCUGAGUUUGAUACAC
This is a long non-coding RNA of Gossypium raimondii (Peruvian cotton), 430 nucleotides long. RefSeq lists it as uncharacterized. The record is from RefSeq and is a predicted model, not a curated record. Lineage: Eukaryota; Viridiplantae; Streptophyta; Magnoliopsida; Malvales; Malvaceae. The transcript has 2 exons.